ACGGGUGAGUAAUAUAUCGGAACGUGCCCAGUCGUGGGGGAUAACUGCUCGAAAGAGCAGCUAAUACCGCAUACGACCUGAGGGUGAAAGCGGGGGAUCGCAAGACCUCGCGCGAUUGGAGCGGCCGAUAUCAGAUUAGGUAGUUGGUGGGGUAAAAGCCCACCAAGCCAACGAUCUGUAGCUGGUCUGAGAGGACGACCAGCCACACUGGGACUGAGACACGGCCCAGACUCCUACGGGAGGCAGCAGUGGGGAAUUUUGGACAAUGGGCGCAAGCCUGAUCCAGCCAUGCCGCGUGCGGGAAGAAGGCCUUCGGGUUGUAAACCGCUUUUGUCAGGGAAGAAAAGGUUCUGGCUAAUACCUGGGACUCAUGACGGUACCUGAAGAAUAAGCACCGGCUAACUACGUGCCAGCAGCCGCGGUAAUACGUAGGGUGCAAGCGUUAAUCGGAAUUACUGGGCGUAAAGCGUGCGCAGGCGGUUAUGCAAGACAGAUGUGAAAUCCCCGGGCUCAACCUGGGAACUGCAUUUGUGACUGCAUGGCUAGAGUGCGGCAGAGGGGGAUGGAAUUCCGCGUGUAGCAGUGAAAUGCGU
Molecule: ribosomal RNA, 593 nt
Filed under: Pelomonas sp. TDB-229
Lineage: Bacteria; Pseudomonadati; Pseudomonadota; Betaproteobacteria; Burkholderiales; Sphaerotilaceae
Description: bacterial SSU rRNA
Rfam family: Bacterial small subunit ribosomal RNA
Source: RNAcentral